GAUGAACGCUGGCGGCGUGCUUAACACAUGCAAGUCGAGCGAGAAGUUUUGAAAAGAUUCUUCGGAUGAAAUUUAAAAUGGAAAGCGGCGGACGGGAGAGUAACGCGUAGGCAACCUGCCCCAUACAAAGGGAUAGCAUUUGGAAACGAAUAUUAAUACCUUAUGAAACUUAACUAGUGCAUGCUAGGUAGGUCAAAGAUUUAUCGGUAUGGGAUGGGCCUGCGUCUGAUUAGCUAGUUGGGGAGGUAACGGCCCACCAAGGCGACGAUCAGUAGCCGACCUGCGAGGGUGAACGGCCACAUGGGAACUGAGACACGGUCCAAACUCCUACGAGAGGCAGCAGUGGGGAAUAUUGCACAAUGGGGGAAACCCUGAUGCAGCAACGCCGCGUGAACGAUGAAGGCCUUUGGGUCGUAAAGUUCUGUUCUAGGUGAUGAAAACUGACAGUAACCUAGGAGAAAGCCCCGGCUAACUCCGUG
This 479-nucleotide ribosomal RNA is filed under the name uncultured bacterium. RNAcentral's name for it is "partial 16S ribosomal RNA". It matches the Rfam family "Bacterial small subunit ribosomal RNA", at positions 28 to 507 of the family's 1533-position model. The record is from RNAcentral.